GAUCUGUGGAGUGUACUUGGAGUCUAUAAAGAGAAGUCUCUGGUUGUUUCCAGAUCUAGUUUUGAGUUUUGUAUUCCUCUGCAGUGUCCAGUUGGUGGUGGUCUUUGUUGACCGUGGUUCUCUUGGAUCUUUGAAGUUUGACCUUCAGUGUUGAGAUACUGACAAUGGCAAUCCAUGGGUCUCCUUUCGAAUCUCCUUACGGGAUGGUUUUGGUGGUGUUGGUGGAGCUACGUCUCUGACCUUACUGACUUAGUUCUUUUGCAACGGAUUCAUUAUGGCCUUUUCAUGUGUGCCGGCUUAGGUUCUUUGUUGCCAUUCACUAAUGUUCAGUCCUUGUUGUUGGUAGUUGGUUUGAGUUCUUGUUUCUAAGCAUGGUGUUCAUUCUUAAGAUUGCUUUGCUUUUGCGACUCGUUGUAGUUUGCUGGUGACUAUUCUGCUUGUCCUCAAUAUUCAUUUUGGUAUCAUUUCAGAGUGGUUAGACCUUGCUACUUGUUUCAUGGUGUGGUUUCUAUCUAGGCGUUUAUUGGUCGGGUCUUGUGUUAUCCGACUUCGCCGCAUUCGGAAGUUUUAUGAAGAUCGAUAGGUCUUUAACUUGCUGGAUUAUGAAGCCAUGGAUUCUUUGUCUUGGAGAGGUUAUAAGCAUCUACGUUCGUGCUUUGUGAGUUGGACUCCAUCUCUCUCAAUCUCACAAUCUCAUGACCUUUUUGGGUUUUUGAAUUUACUUCUCACCCACGUGUAUGGGAUUAUUAGUCUAUAGAUACCUACUGGUGUCUUUUACUUUGAGUUUUAGUUGCUGGCAUGUUUGGUCCAGGAUUGUAAGGAUACUUUUGAUUGAAUACCAAGUGUUAAAAAAAAAAAAAAA
This 862-nucleotide long non-coding RNA is filed under the name Brassica napus (rape). RNAcentral's name for it is "long non-coding RNA (BNAP_LNC004468)". The record is from RNAcentral. Lineage: Eukaryota; Viridiplantae; Streptophyta; Magnoliopsida; Brassicales; Brassicaceae.